Phyllopteryx taeniolatus (common seadragon) is the source of this 2832-nucleotide long non-coding RNA. RefSeq lists it as uncharacterized. The transcript has 2 exons. The record is from RefSeq and is a predicted model, not a curated record. NCBI's taxonomy places the organism in Eukaryota, Metazoa, Chordata, Actinopteri, Syngnathiformes, Syngnathidae.
GGCAAUGUCAUGAAAGCAAUACAUCAUUGCUUACAUACAGUAAGGUCGUGUAACACAUCUCUUUGUCAUGUGUUGAAAAUGUGCUUCGCGUCCAGCAUUACCAUAUAGACCAAUAUUUCACACAGCAAUUUAUGUUCUCUCACAUUGGUCUUAUUAUAUGUGCGCAUGUUGUAUGCAUUAUCAUGAUAAGGCUCGGAACGCUCCAGGCUUCAUUACCACAAAAAGUUCAAGCUGGGGCCUACACACUGUUUGUCGAAAGAAGCCAGAAAGUAGACGUCAGCAUCAAUUGAAGGUUUAACACAGCCUGAGCCCACCUCACACUGCCACAUCUUAUCUUUAAUUGACAAUUACCAUCACCAUCUUGGCUUCUCUCCAUUAGAGACCAAGCUAGUGUGUUCAACCACAUCCACGAUGGCAAAUGCACACAAAAAACAUUAUACGAUGGAAAAAGAAUUCAACCGUUUUUGCCACAUUUUUAGCUUGAAUUCUAUGGACAUUGUGUGCACCUUGGUCACCUAGGGGCAGUAUAAUGCAGACAUUCGGAUCAACAUCGAGCCAGUCAAAACUUCUCAAUAAGACACAAUAAUAGUAGUCAUACUUUGCAGAGGAUCAAGAAUAUAUGCCUAUGAGUAUAUAGAUAAAAUAAUAUUAUCUGUCUAUAUGUGUCGCUUCACUAUUUGCAUUCAAAUAUCCAUUGCUUAAAGGUCAUAACACUGCACCACCCAUGCGAUUAGUUUGCCCAUCUAUGGCAUUUCCAUUAUGUUCGCAUUAAGCUAGUGGCUUUUCAAUCAAAGUUAUGUGGUUGUUUAAAAUACACAACAUGUAAUUUGUUUAACAUUUAGUUAAACAAUAAAGUUAAACUAGGGGAAACGGUGGAUUAGCACUUCUGCCUCACAGUUUUCGAAUCCGGCCUCGCCUAUCUGGAGUUUACAUGUUCUCCCCGUGACUGUGUGGGUUUUGUCCGGCUGCUGCGGUUUCCUCCCACAUCCCAAAACAUGCAUGCUCGGUUCAUUGAAAACUCUAAAUUGCCUGUUGCUGUGAAUGGGAGUGCGAAUGGCUUGUUUAUAUAUGCCCUGCGAUUGGCUGGCGACCAGUUCAGGGUGUGCCCCACCUCUCGCCCGGAGUCAGCUGGGCUAGGCUUCAGCACGCCCGCGAUGCUAGUGAGGAUAAACAGUACCGAAAAUGGAUGGAUGGAUGGCUAAAGUUUAACUGGGCAAUAAACAGCUUGAAGCCUCUUUUGACAAAUUCUUCACUAUCUGUCCAACUACUGCUUGUUGUAUAGUGAGUCGAGUUCACUUUACUACCACCACACAGUGCUCAUAUCUCCAACUUUUGCUCGCAAGUCAAAGCAAAAAACAGCUGAACGUCGGCUUGUAUGUCGAAAAAUUGGUAAGUCGGGGCACUUCUUCGUAUCUCAAGACACCACUUUAUACAGUAUAUAUACUGUAUGUACUGUAUAUGUAUAACAUAGUCAGCUGGGAUAGGCUUCAACUCAAUCGUGCAUGAUAACAAGCACUUUUAUUGAAUCACAUUUGACUUACUGUGCAAGUGCACCUACCAUCAAAAAGCAUAAAAGUAUAAUUGUCUGGAUUUUUUGGGAAUAAAGUGACACAAAGUCAAUGUUUUGGUCCAGUGGGCAGGAUGGCUUCUGGGUGUGUUGCAUUCAAUCACACUCUGCACACUCCCGCCCCCCAAACACACACGCCGCAUGUGAUUAGGAGCACCUGUGUUUCCAAAAUGGCAGCUGCAGUAAGAAAGGACACCAAACCAUUUUGCAUCCCGAUGUUAAUAAAAGCCACAGUAGUGAAUAUAAUGAAAAAAGCAAGACAGUUAAAAGGAUUCCAGUGGAGUUGACAUUUUGGAGCACAAUUAGACAAAAGGCAGGUCAGUGGUCUCCUUCUCUGACCUCUUCAAAGAGGGAGCACAUUCACCUGUCUUGGAAUGGCUGUAGAUAGACGGGGGGACGACGAAUGACAAACUUGUCUUGGAGGCACAGAAAACAGCGAGACACGUCGGCAAGUCGGCCCGAUUGACUGCAGGGCGCUGCACCUAUCUUCAUCUGCCUGUCACCAUGGAUCUCCUCAUUCAUGUCUCCCUCAUUUUGAGCUAUUACUCUCAUCGCCCUCUUCCUUCUUUUCUUCCUACGACAGCCUGCCUCAGUCUGUGGCUAUUAUUGUCUUCUGUAUCGUGCGUACAUAAGUGUUGGGGAUGUGCUUGAAACCUUGGACUUCACUCCUGUUGUAUGUCAUGACAGCGGCCCGUUAAAAUGGUUAAGCCACCUCAGGGGAUGCCCAAAUUUAACCGCCGACAGAAUGAUGCCUAUGUGGGCCGGUGGAGCCAUGAUAGAAUAAUUUAACAUUUUUCUCACCUUGUAACUGUGUUAUCGGUGUAAAGUGGACGCAUACAGGCUGUUCGAUUUGGCAUAAUACCAUCUUCGGCAUCUGAAGUCAAAAUCAUCUAUUGAUCUUUUUAGCUUAGUGCUUGCAUAAUUCAUCUUAUAGCUAGGUGCUCAAGGUCUCUCAUUAUUUGUAGUUUAGUUACAGUAUUCUUGGAAAGCAAGGGAUGCACUCAAAAUAUAAUCAAAUUUACAUAUUGCACUCCACCUCUGAAAUAAGCUAUUUAUGUUGACUAGAAAUCAAGUAGUCUCGCUAGUAUUUCCGUAUUAAACUAUGUCCAGAUCAAUAAGAGUUGAUUGUAUUCCUGCAAGACUCCCUGUAUAAGUUUUACUUAUCCAUCUUCAUGAAUAAGGCACAGCAUGAUUCUCUGUUUUUACUUUGCUAAAACAAUGUUUCCUCUCAUAUAACAAUAAAAUGAAGAUAAAUUAUUAUCAUA